Molecule: ribosomal RNA, 253 nt
Filed under: uncultured bacterium
Lineage: Bacteria
Description: partial 16S ribosomal RNA
Rfam family: Bacterial small subunit ribosomal RNA
Source: RNAcentral
UACAGAGGCCUCGAGCGUUAGGCGGAAUCACUGGGCUUAAAGCGUGUGUAGGCGGACUUCUAAGUACCUUGUGAAAUCCCACGGCUCACCCGUGGAACUGCUUGGUAUACUGGUUGUCUUGAGCCUUCUAGGGGCGAGUGGAACAAAUGGUGGAGCGGUGAAAUGCGUAGAUAUCAUCUGGAACGCCAAUGGUGAAAACAACUCGCUGGGGAAGUGCUGACGCUGAGACACGAAAGCCAGGGGAGCGAACGGG